RNAcentral lists this ribosomal RNA (241 nucleotides) under uncultured bacterium. RNAcentral's name for it is "partial 16S ribosomal RNA". It matches the Rfam family "Bacterial small subunit ribosomal RNA", at positions 95 to 334 of the family's 1533-position model. The record is from RNAcentral.
UAGGCGACCGGGUGAGUAACACGUGAUUAACCUACCUUCGAGUGGGGAAUAACUUCGGGAAACCGAAGCUAAUACCGCAUAACAUCCCAAGGACGAGAAGCCCAGGGAUCAAAGGAGCAAUUCGCUUGAAGAGGGGGUCGCGGCUGAUUAGCUAGUUGGUAGGGUAAAGGCCUACCAAGGCAAUGAUCGGUAGCCGGCCUGAGAGGGCACACGGCCACACUGGCACUGAAACACGGGCCAG